Molecule: ribosomal RNA, 501 nt
Filed under: Fructobacillus fructosus
Lineage: Bacteria; Bacillati; Bacillota; Bacilli; Lactobacillales; Lactobacillaceae
Description: bacterial SSU rRNA
Rfam family: Bacterial small subunit ribosomal RNA
Source: RNAcentral
AACACGUGAAUAACCUACCUCAAAGUCUGGGAUAACCAUUGGAAACAGUGACUAAUACCGGAUAAAACCCAAGUGCACAUGCACUAAGGUUAAAAGCUGCGUUUGCAGCGCUUUAAGAUGGAUUCGCGGUGCAUUAGUUAGUUGGUGAGGUAAAGGCUCACCAAGACGAUGAUGCAUAGCCGAGUUGAGAGACUGACCGGCCACAUUGGGACUGAGACACGGCCCAAACUCCUACGGGAGGCUGCAGUAGGGAAUCUUCCACAAUGGGCGCAAGCCUGAUGGAGCAACGCCGCGUGUGUGAUGAAGGCUUUCGGGUCGUAAAGCACUGUUGUAUGGGAAGAACGGGUUUAAGAGGAAAUGCUUAGACAGUGACGGUACCAUACCAGAAAGGGACGGCUAAAUACGUGCCAGCAGCCGCGGUAAUACGUAUGUCCCGAGCGUUAUCCGGAUUUAUUGGGCGUAAAGCGAGCGCAGACGGUUGCUUAAGUCUGAAGUGAAAGC